UACCAGACUGGAUGGAGUUUCACUCUUAUUGCCCAGGCUGGAGUGCAAUGGCGCGAUCUCGGCUCACUGCAACCUCUGCCUCCCGAGUUCAAGUGAUUCUUCUACCUCAGCCUCCCGAGUAGCUGCGAUUACAGAUACAUAGCGCUGGCCAAGAAGUGUGGUUUUGAAGAGCCCAAACUGUAUCUGUUACCUGAUUUCAAAGAAUAUUCCACCUAGGAGAGACCCAAGUCCUGCAGACUUCCUCUGGACACUUUCGGCAGUCAUUGUUCCCUGCUGAUUCUGCAAGAGAUGAGGAACGGAGGAUAGAAUCAUGAAUAACAACAUAUUAGUUGCUGAUUGGGUAUUGAUUCUAAGGAUACCCCCGAUAAACAUCUUUCGUGCUAAAGCCCAUUCUAGAAUUUACUUCCCAGCUAUCUUUGAUGUUCAUAUUGUCAGAGGUGGUGGCCGCUGAAAUAGGCAAAGAUAUGGAGCAUAUCUUGGGUCCAGGACCUUGGGAGUCCAGAGGAAGGUCUUUUUACCAUCAGCAUUCUCUCCUGUGUUCAAGGACUGUCAGCCAAAGAUGACCAGGUUCUCUACUGUAAUGGUGAAUUUUAUGUGUCAAUUUGACUGGACCAUGGGAUGCCCAGCUUUCCUUCAGAAAGAAAUGCAUUCAAAGAACCUACAUUCACAACGUAAAGAAAUAAAGCCUGCACCUACAGAUCUACACACAUGCCCACGCACAUGCAGGAAAUGUUCAUCUAAGACCGGACCUUUUAGAAGAAAGCUGGCAUGCAUUCAUGAAGGCAUGGGCUUCCAGGCAUGUCAUCUUCUACACACAAGACCGCCAAGCAUUAAGAUUCUCCUGUGGAGCUAGGCUACAAUCCUUUAAAUGAAGACAGACAGAGAGCUAGGUGGCUGCAGCCCAGUGCUACACCUCACCCCUCCCUCAGUGUCAUGCAGACAAAAUGUAUUCAGAAGUCAGAAGUGAAGUUGUGCAAAUCCAUCAUUGACGCUAGCUUCAAGGUUACCUCGGGGGAGCCAAAUGUACCCCUGCCAGAGAGCUGGAUGGAUGAUGAUGGGGACAGAAAUUCUGGGGGAGUUGUAAAUGGCAGCCACUGCCUCUAUAGGAAACCCAAAGGGAAAACAGCAGAGGAGGAGGUGGUGGAGGAGCCACUGCCCUCUUGAAGGGUUCAAUGUCAUUCUGCGGACACAGCCAAAUAACUUUUUCUUCCCUGCUGCUCCUCCAUUUG
Molecule: long non-coding RNA, 1229 nt
Filed under: Pongo abelii (Sumatran orangutan)
Lineage: Eukaryota; Metazoa; Chordata; Mammalia; Primates; Hominidae
Description: lincRNA
Source: RNAcentral